This 604-nucleotide ribosomal RNA is filed under the name uncultured Actinomycetes bacterium. Its description in RNAcentral is "bacterial SSU rRNA". It matches the Rfam family "Bacterial small subunit ribosomal RNA", at positions 252 to 866 of the family's 1533-position model. The record is from RNAcentral. Lineage: Bacteria; Bacillati; Actinomycetota; Actinomycetes.
GUGGGGUAACGGCCCACCAAGGCUCCGACGGGUAGCCGGCCUGAGAGGGCGACCGGCCACACUGGGACUGAGACACGGCCCAGACUCCUACGGGAGGCAGCAGUGGGGAAUAUUGCACAAUGGGCGAAAGCCUGAUGCAGCGACGCCGCGUGAGGGAUGACGGCCUUCGGGUUGUAAACCUCUUUCAGUACCGACGAAGCGAAAGUGACGGUAGGUACAGAAGAAGCACCGGCCAACUACGUGCCAGCAGCCGCGGUAAUACGUAGGGUGCAAGCGUUGUCCGGAAUUAUUGGGCGUAAAGAGCUCGUAGGCGGCUUGUCGCGUCGGCUGUGAAAACCUGGGGCUCAACCCCGGGCCUGCAGCCGAUACGGGCAAGCUAGAAUUCGGUAGGGGAGACUGGAAUUCCUGGUGUAGCGGUGAAAUGCGCAGAUAUCAGGAGGAACACCGGUGGCGAAGGCGGGUCUCUGGGCCGAUAUUGACGCUGAGGAGCGAAAGCGUGGGGAGCGAACAGGAUUAGAUACCCUGGUAGUCCACGCCGUAAACGUUGGGCGCUAGGUGUGGGCCACAUUCCACGUGGUCUGUGCCGCAGCUAACGCAUUAAGCG